This 72-nucleotide transfer RNA is filed under the name Eubacterium sp. RNAcentral describes it as "tRNA-Gly". It matches the Rfam family "tRNA". Rfam says of the family: Transfer RNA (tRNA) molecules are approximately 80 nucleotides in length. Their secondary structure includes four short double-helical elements and three loops (D, anti-codon, and T loops). The record is from RNAcentral. Lineage: Bacteria; Bacillati; Bacillota; Clostridia; Eubacteriales; Eubacteriaceae.
GUCCCAUUCGUUUAUCGGUUAGGACCUUAGAUUUCCAAUCUAAAGAGGUGGGUUCGAUUCCCACAUGGGGCU